AACGAACGCUGGCGGCAUGCCUAACACAUGCAAGUCGAACGAGACCUUCGGGUCUAUUGGCGCACGGGUGCGUAACGCGUGGGAACCUGCCCUAAGGUUCGGAAUAACUCCCCGAAAGGGGUGCUAAUACCGGAUAAUGUCUUCGGACCAAAGAUUUAUCGCCUUUGGAUGGGCCCGCGUUGGAUUAGCUAGUUGGUAGGGUAAAAGCCUACCAAGGCGACGAUCCAUAGCUGGUCUGAGAGGAUGAUCAGCCACACUGGGACUGAGACACGGCCCAGACUCCUACGGGAGGGAGCAGUGGGGAAUAUUGGACAAUGGGCGAAAGCCUGAUCCAGCAAUGCCGCGUGAGUGAUGAAGGCCUUAGGGUUGUAAAGAUCUUUUACCCGGGAUGAUAAUGACAGUACCGGGAGAAUAAGCUCCGGCUAACUCCGUG
RNAcentral lists this ribosomal RNA (433 nucleotides) under uncultured bacterium. RNAcentral's name for it is "partial 16S ribosomal RNA". It matches the Rfam family "Bacterial small subunit ribosomal RNA", at positions 29 to 507 of the family's 1533-position model. The record is from RNAcentral.